This is a long non-coding RNA of Cyprinus carpio carpio, 3099 nucleotides long. The record is from Ensembl. NCBI's taxonomy places the organism in Eukaryota, Metazoa, Chordata, Actinopteri, Cypriniformes, Cyprinidae.
AGCAUCAUCUUAUAAGAUAAGGUCCAGAUACAUUUCAUUGAUAAGGUCCAGAUACAUUUAAAUUAUUAUUAUUAUUAUUAUUAUUUUCAUCUGUCUUUGCACAACUGCACAUAACAAUACAAUAAAAUUGCAUAACAAAAAACAAUGCAUUGCAAAAGAAGUUAACUUCCAUACUGCUUUUGUCAAUGCAUAAGGUACAGCGAUGGAGAAAUAAUAUGCAAAAAUAUCUUUAUAGAGCACACUUGAGCUCAUUUGUCCUGGAGCAUCAUGACUGUCAGCACAGCAUUGUAGUUGCUCUUUGUUCUUCAGUGGGCUUUGUGUGCGAAUGUGUCACUCACUAAUCAUGGAGAAAAAAGGCCCAUUCCCUCACCUGAAUGGCUACAGGUCACUGUAUCAUUAUGGAAAAACAGAACAGGCACAAGCACCGCUGCUGUUUGUCUCAUGCAAAUUUGUCGUGUAGGAAAGAGGUUGGUGGAUUACGUCAGGUGAAAUCCUCAGCUGCAUCCUGAUCAAGGUAUAAAAAGUCAGUCUGAAGCACAAUAUAGCAAUACUCCUACUUUGCCUUACAGGACAGAAGUUGUACAAGUGAAGAAUGAAUAUCUCUGCUCUGUUGGUGUUUAUUUCUGCUGUCGUGUCUGUUUAUGGGUAUUAUGAACUGCCCUGCUCUGACUGCAAUCAUCCUUGCACUGCUGAUCGCUUGAAAAACGUCACAGAACAAUUACUCGAGCACAUGAACUUUACUGACUGCAGACAGAACAAACACUUUUCAAGAAGAGCCAAUCCUACCUGGAAGUGCGAGUAAGUGUUCUUACAAUUAAUUCAGUUAUUUUUAUGCUAGUAACCUUUCUUAUGUGUAGUAAUAUUAGAUGAGAGGCUGUUGGGUGUUGAGGACUCAAAGUACAAAGUGUUUAUAUGGAAGACCCCCCUUAUUUGCUUUUUUGGUUCAUUAUUAUUAUUUCAUUUAAUAGCUUUAUAAGGUUAUUUACUGUUAUUUUAUUUAAUGUCAUCUAAACAUGUUUAAUUAGGUAGUUUGGACACACUUAUGCAUGCAGCUGGUUCAUGUUGAUGAAAUUAAUAUGGCUCUUAUCAGCCAAACAAGAAAGAACUGUCUUUUGAGGUUGAAACUAUAUUUACAGUUUUUGUUUGUCAGUAGACAUUCCAUACUAUUUAAAGGGCUGUUUUAGAUUGAGAAUUUGAUGAUGAUAAAGGAUAUGAUGUGUGUCAAUGCUCCACAACUUAUGAGUCUUUUUUUUUUUUUCACAGACCAUCACACAUUUUAGACAGACGUCCUGAAAAGGUCUUUAAUGCCAUAUGUGGAAACUGCAAAGAUGGAUCUGAGGCAGUAUCGAUUUUGCAAAAUAUCAGCAUGUUAUUCAGAAAGUCCUGCCUGAACAGAAAUAACUCUAAUAAUAACAUAAUAUUAUAUGUAAAACCAGUCACAAUCUCAUUAGGCUGUACGUGUGUAAAGAAAACUCCUUUUUAAAGAACAAUAUGUAAAUUAUGCCUGGAUGAUAUGGAUGAUCUUUUAUGUUUUUGACAAAAAUGCUCUUAAUGUUUUUUACAAUGCAUGUUUGUAAAAACGUUCUCAAAACCAUGUAAUAAUUUGGCUGUGUAUAUAUAAUGAUGCAUUUAUUUUUGCUAAAUUACUCUUCUUAUAGAAGUAAAUAAAGCUUGUUCAAAUAAACAAAAUUGUUUCUUUUUUUGUAUGAUAUUCAAAACAGUACAUGAAUUUGACACAAGCUCAUUCAGAUGCCAUACUAUGUCACAUAUAGUUAUAUACAUUAUACUUCAUCCCAGUGUAUGAAUGUAUAUUUUCUACUCAGAAACAGAGUUAUGUUUCAUAUUUUAUAACUGGGUAAUCUAGUUCUGGCCACAAUUAUUGACACCCUUGGUAAAUAUAUUCAUCUUUCUUUAAAUUGGCAGACAAAAUGUUUCUGUAGACUUCUGAGUUCAUUUUGCUGCUGCCAUCAUGUGUUACAUCAUCAAUGAAGAUUAAUGAGCCUGUCCCAGAAGAAGCCAUACAAGCCCAAGCCAUGACAUUACCUCCACUGUGUUACACAGAUGAGCUUUUAUGUUUGGGAUCAUGAGCAGAUCCUUUCUUUCUCCAAACUUUAGCCUUUCUGUCACUUUGGUAAAGAUUAAUCUUUGUCUCAUCAGUCCAUAAAACUUUGUCCCAGAACUUUUGAGGCUCAUCUCUGUACUUUUUGGCAAAUUCCAGCCUGGCCUUUCUAUUCUUCUUGCUAAUGAGUGGUUUGCAUCUUCUGGUGUAGCCUCUGUACUUGUGAUCAUGAAGUCUUCUGCGAACAGUAGAUUGUGAUACCUUCACCCCUGCCCUCUGGAGGUUGUUGCUGAUCUCACUUACAGUUGUUUUAGGGUCUUUCCUGACCGCUCUCACAAUAUUUCUGUCAUCAACUGCAGUUGUUUUCCUUGGUCUACCUGUUCGAUGUCUGUUACUUAGUACACCAGUGGCUUCUUUCUUCUUCAGGACAUUCCAAAUGGUUAAAAUGGCUAUGGCCAAUGUGUGUGCAAUGGCUCUGAUUGAUUUUCCUUCUUCUGUCAGCUUCACAAUUGCUUGUUUUUCACCCAUAGACAGCUCUCUGGUUUUCAUGUUGGUUACACCUCACAGGCUUAUAGCUAUAAAUGCAGUUUGAACAGGCAAUACCCAAAUCUGAAUCUGAGCGUCGACAUUCAGUGCUAAUUAUUGUUUGAAUAAUCACUGUGAUAGGACACACCUGGGCAACAAAAAACACCUGUCAGUCACAUGUUCCAAUACUUUUGCUCACAUGAAAAAUGGGUGGGUUCAAACAAAAUGUGAUAUCUUAUAAGUUGUUUGUCAGAUCCAGAUGUAAAUACCUGCAAAUAAAAGCUGGCAUGUAAAUCUCUUGUCUGAUAUUCAACUUUUGAGGUCAAACCCAAAUGUUUUCAGUCUACAGCAAAAAUAAAGGAAUUGGCCUCACUGUCCCAAUACUUUUGGAGGGGAGUGUAUAUUGCCUUUAAAAUAUGGUUAAAAUAUACUGCUGAAUGUACUGAUAAGCAUUUGGUUAACAACUGUAAAAUAUACUUUUUUUCCCAACUGUAUUUUUUUCUUCUUCUUGUGAG